Long non-coding RNA from Pangasianodon hypophthalmus (striped catfish), 13747 nucleotides. RefSeq lists it as uncharacterized. The transcript has 2 exons. Lineage: Eukaryota; Metazoa; Chordata; Actinopteri; Siluriformes; Pangasiidae. The record is from RefSeq and is a predicted model, not a curated record.
CUCUCUCUCUCUCCUGUUUGUUUGGCCAUCUUUCUUUACUUCAUUAUUCAUUACGUAGUCCAUUAGGCUCUUUCGGUGCUUUCACUGAUAUGUUUAUGUUUUUUCUUCAAACGGAUCUGCACAAGUCAGUCAUCACGGAGGGAGGCUCAGGUGUCAGAUGGCAAACCCACUUGCUCUGGAAUGUCUCUGAGACACUGAGGAGUCAGACUGAUUCCCUUUUCUCUCCUGAGGCUAUGGCAGUGUUUCCAUGACCCUUCUUGGGAGAUGAGCAAGGACAGUUGAAAUCAAUAGCUGAGAUCUGCUUUACCUCGAGCCCCUUCUAGCCCGGCUAUAAAUGAGCGGGUGACUGGGAGUGAAAUUGAUUGUAGAGGCAGAUGGAAAAGACUCAGGUUUGUUUUGAAACUGACCGCAGUGAGGGAAACAUGAGAUUAGCUGUAAAUCAUUAGCUGCUGUAUUAGUGUCUCCAUUGAUGUGGAAACGGGGAGCUCAUCUUUGACCCUCUGAGACAAAGGAGAGACUGAUGUAAAAAUAGCUUGCAUGUAAUGUGUUGUAUUACUAACUCAACCUAAUGGAAGCAUGCAUCCGAUUUAUUGAUUAACAUUCCUUUGAACAUUUUCUGAGGUAAACACAAGGUUGGCCAUUCUGAAAUGUCAUUUAGUCCUGAAGUUAAUGUCAUGUCAAUAUCAGGAGAUAAGAUUUUUUUCUUGGAGAGCUAUUCCUGUUAUUACUUCUAAUUACUUCUAUUACUAAUCCUAUUAUUAUUAUUACUAUUACUUCGUCUCUGUCCACUAUCUCUGUAGUCUUUGUGCAGGUACAGACAAGAAUUUUGAUGUUUUCCAGUACUGAGAACAGAGCAGAAAACGCAGCUUACUCAAAACUCAAAUAUAAUGGAAAAUUAAGGGUCUUUUUUUUUUUUUUUUUUUUUAAUUCUAUCGAUAUUCAUCUAUAUAAUGUGAAUUCAAAACUUCACCUGUUGCACUCAAUGGGUAGCGUUGCUGUCUCACAGCUCCAGGGUCCCCGCUUCAAUCAUGAGCACGGGUUACUGUCUGUGUGGAGUUUCACAAUGUGGGUUUCCUCUGGGUUCUCUGGCUAAAUAUGCUAAAUUGCCUGUAGGUGUAAAAAAAAAAAAAAAAAAAAAAAACCUUCCUUACCUCAAUCCAACAUUCAUUCACCUGUUACUUUAUAUAUUUUACAGGCAUGAAUUGUAAAUGCACACAACAUUGUCUCGAAAGUGUCCCAAAACAGAUUUUACAUCAUCCUGAACCCUAUUUUUACCAUCCUCAGGAUUAUGGGAUGUUGACUGACUCAGUUUGUUCAUGGUACCCUCCAUUGGAUUAGUGUCCCAUCCUGGAUAAAUUCUCUUCGCCUUGGGCCAAGUGUUUUCCAGAAUAGGCUCUGGAUCCACUGUGACCCUGACCACAAUAGAGCAGUUACUGAAGUUGAAUAUUCAAUGAAUGAACUGUUGCACCCAUACAAUAAAGAUGCAAGGCUGAGACAGACCAAACUUCUCUUUAUGGAGGUUUAUCCAGCAUUGCAGCAGUUCUAGUAACUUAUACUUUCCCAAAGGUUUUGUGGUAUCCAUGCACAUAUCAGGCUAUAUGACUAUGAUGGUCCCCCUGAAAAAAUAGUCCCAUCAAUGAAAGGACAAAAUUAGGCAGAUUUUAAUGAAGAAUUCAUAAUAAAUUUCUACAAAAAUGCUGGGAAACAUGUUGAAAUUCUUGUCUCUGGUAAUUGCACAUAUGCUACAGAUGGUGUACAGUAGGUUGAAAAAUACUGGAAUAUUCCUUUAAUACAGUCUUUUUAGGGGAAGACUGUGGCUGGAGCAUUUACUUUGUACAGAACAGCUUUGCUCAGUAGUUAAGCUAGCUAAUCCUAUCCUCAAGGCAAGCAGGCGAUUAUCUUUGUGUAUGGUUGUACUUUGUGGGUGUGUUUGUUAACAAUUCUCUGUAUUUGCUUCUUUUGUAGAUUUGGGCUAUGACUUCACUGACCUGUCAGUGUGUUAUGUUCAGCAUACAUACAUAUACAUAUAAUAGAAGAUCUGAUAGCAGUUUUCCCCCAGUAUUAAUUAUGGUUUUUAUUAAUAUAAAAUAACCUACUAUGAGUAAUCUUUGUGCAUCUCAGCUUAAGCCUUCCCUUGGUGUCCCUGUACCCUGAGAGAAAAGCUUGAGAGGGAUGGAUCAAUCCUUUAACACCCCCAUCGCCUCUAGUCUAAUCCCCGUAUAAAUAGGCCACCAUGUCUAUUUCACAAGCAAUAAAGCAGUGUGUUCAGAAAGAGCCCCUCUCUCAGGGACUGCUGUGGGUUAUUACUCUGGCAGGAAUAAGAUCCCAGGGGGCAAGACAACAAAACUGUUCACAUCUUAUCCAUUUUCCACCCUUUCCUUCUGUCUUCAUAUGAGGGUGCUGAUAUUUGUAUCCCUUGUGUCAGUGGCCUGAGAAUGGUGCUUCAUAUUCCUAUCGCUCUUUCCUUUUAGAGGUAUACAUGAACAGAAAGCAAAUGAGUUGACCCUGAUUUUGUACUCUCUAGGACAGAAAUGUGUGUGCUGCCUUGUGACUAGAUCAGGCACCUUAACCUAUUUGCGUAUCUUUGUCUGUUCCCUAAUGAAUAGGGCCAAUUUUAGAAGCUUUAAUGGGAAUGGAAAAUUCUACACUGAGCAGAAAUAUUUCCCCAGUUAAAAUCAGAAUUUAUUUUUCUCCUUAACUUCUCAAAGACAAAUACGCUGCAGGGAAUGUUGUAGACUAAACAUUAGCAUGUGAAUAUAUCAAAAAAAUAGCUAUCUUUAUUUCUGUAGUACCCUUUUCAAUUAGACUUGAAGUGCUUUACAUAUUUCUACGGACCUGCCAACCUUUAUGCAUUUUGUCUCAGAACCUCCACAUUUUAACACCAGAGCAUGCUGCUAUCACUCAAAAAUAUACAAAAAGAGCCCCCCCAUUUAAAUCAGUAGAUGAUCGAAUCAACAUAUGAAUCUAGAAGUGACAACUGCUUAGGUGUUUUGAACUUUCCAGUGUUAGCGGACACCCUGAAAGCCCCAUCCCUCGCCCCAUCUCACAUUAGUAAUCUAUCGUCCUCAACUUGAUUUUCUUGCUUGAAAGAUCUCACUUUCUGUCAAAGUAAAUGGAGAAUGUUUAUUAUAAUAAUGUGAAAUAAACUCUAUCUAUAAUGUAUGUUUGACUUAGCUUACAUUAGACAAGUAUAUAGUUAAGUCUGAGAGAUCAGUUAAGUCUGGGAAUUAUUGAACAAAGUAUAUUAUUGAAAGUAUAUUGUUGAGUCUACAAAGAUUAUUGAAAUGACUAUAAAUAUAUAAUAAUUACUUCAAAUCACAAUUUUGAAUAUAUAUUAAAUAGGAAAAAAGACUUAAUAACUACAAAUCUGCCAGGUUAAAAAAUAGAAAAAAGACAUGUAUAGAGCUUUGCAUUAAUAAUGUGUAGAGUUUCAUAGAGUUUAGUAGCAAAAAACUGUGAAUGUUCUUGGGAUUAACAGUAAAAUUGUCUCCUAUGAAAUAUUCAACAGCACUGUACCAUGAACAUUAACUGCUUUAAAUAUGUUUCUAAUCUCCCUCUCUCUCUCUCUCUCUCUCUCUCUCUCUCUCUCUCUGUCGUCGUGGAUGAUUCCUCUACCCACAAUGCUCUGGCCAUUUACAUAUCACUCUGUCUUUCAGGUAAGUCACAAUAGAAAGUUAUAUAAUUUGCAGUGUAAUAUAAAAUCUGCUCUUCUAUCAAUAUGAUCAUUAUGUGUAGUGAAAAUUGUAGUUGUUGACUGAAGAAAGUCUGAAAUCACGUUAAUAAUUUGAGUCGGCUUGACAGCAGGGUUUCCCUCCUCUGGCCCCCCCUAGACUGGUCGAUCAUCAAGAACUCUAUAAUUACAGGGAUUACACGCUUCCAGUAGUUAGUGUCUGGUAGCAUUAAUGGCGUCACAUGAGACGCAUGCCGUAACCUGUCUCAAAUCAGCAUUUGGAGAAUAGUUUCCAGGAGGAAGAGAUUUACAUUCAUGAUAAACUAUUGAACCGAGCCUGUGCGUGAUUGACAUCACAGGAGUGUGUGUGGUUUGUUAUCCGAACACUUGAGUAGGGGAGCUCCACGUCUUCACACUGGGAGAAAAUCCCGGAGACAGGAAACGCGUUUUCAGCUGUGCACAAAUUGAAAGAGGUGGUGAAAUAGAGAGAGCUGUACAGCUAAUUAGCUGUCAGCAGGGGUGUAGAUUCUACAAUGACAAGCUCAUUCUGCUCUUUUUUCUGGCAUUCCUCUUUUUUCCCCAUGUAUGCUUUCUCCUCCUGUGUGUCCGAAAGGGAGCAUUGUGGUUACACCUGCCCUCCAUCUCUCAUUAGUCAACUGUUUGUGUGUGUGUGUGUGUGUGUGUGUGAUUUAAUGCAUUCUGUGUUGGAAGUGAAACUUUUUAGAAGCAGGUCUUAAGCAGUUCUUGCAGUCUUUAAAGGGGCAGUUUGUAAUUUUUAGAGCCUCCUGCUGCUUGUGAGGUGAAUUGCAAUUGCAAUGAAAACAUAAAUCAGCCUUCCCCUUCCACCUGACUGAUCCCACCCACAAUCCUGAAACUACAUAUGCUCAUUAGUCUUUUAAGGAAAAUGGUCAGAGCUGAUCUCUGUUUUGGCUGGGGGCGGGGCUAAUAUUCAGGUUAAGAAAAUGUAAACGAAAGUCUGAAAACAAAGAAACUAGCCACGGGCUAGCACAUACAUCCUCCAAGACGUGUGAAGCCAGUCAACCCCACCUUUUCAAACUGCUGCUCAUGCUGCAUCACAGGGCAGCGUAAGACAUUCAGAGGAAAGUGCUAUCUUCUGCAUGCAUGAGUUCACAGACACCCACGGUUGGCUAGCCUCACUGUGAUUGACAGGGGAGAGAGUAUGCCUUCCCUCCAACCCUGAUAGCUAGGUCAGUUUUGCUUUCUAGCCUCCUGGCCAUGGAUGGCUGCGGCAACAUCAGGAUUUGAACUUGUGUUCUCCGGAUGACAGGGUGAGCACUCUUCUGUUGCGCCACUUACUUUGGAGCCUGAUUACUAUGAUAAUUAUAGGACUAGAAACACAAAAAUUACAUUUGAAAUACACUGAUUUUCGACUAUUUAACUAUUUAAGCUACAACAUUACAAUUGAAAAUAAAGUCAGGCUUUCUCAAAAAAAAAAACUAUAUUCAAGCAAAUGUAAUUCUAUAUCAUCUUCAUGAGGUUUUUAACUAAAUGGUGCUUUGACGCCACAUCAAUCCUAUAGUCAGUAACCUACCGUCGUUUCAGUCCUGCUGAAAAGCUCUUUGCGGAAAGACUGAGACACUCAGCCCUGCUCUUUUUUUUUUUUUUGGAUGACUUCAGCAUUAGUGUUUAAGUGGAGAUUUUUCCCAAAGCAAGCCAUUAAACCAAUAGAGGAGAAGCCCAAUGAAUUUGAAAAUCACACACAAAACACUUAGCAGUGGGGAAACACAUACACACAUUUACAAAAUAUCAUACAGUCAUGUACACAUAUUCUAAAUAUAGAGCAGAGACAAACUAUAUCCAAAUAAACAAAUACAAACUAUGGAAAGAGAGCUUGUGUUCAGAUGAUGUGCAGGGAAAACUGCAGUCUGUCUCUCUGUCUGCUGAUGUAAAAAAUAAAGACUAUGAUGCUCAUCAUGAAUAUCUUUUCACCAUACUUAUUACUGUUUAAAUUUAUAGUACAAUUAUAGAGGAGUAGUGAUUUAUAACCUCACUAUCCAGAGUCACCUAGAAGAGGAUGAGUUCCCUUUUGACUCUUGUUCCUCUUAAGGUUUUUUUCCCCUCAUGGUUUCUCAGGAAGUUUUUCCUUGCCAUUUUGACCUCUGAAUUGCUCACUCUACAUUGGGAUUUCUGUAAUUCUGCUUUGUGACUGAAUUUAAUUUAAAAAGCUCUUGUUUGCAGUGACAAAAAGGUGCAUUUUUUUGGUGCUUAUUGUCUGCAGCAGAGACCAAUGUUUUCUAUUAUCCUUUGAGUUUUUAAGGUAAAACCUUCAUUCACACCAAAACUACUCCAGGUAUUUAGAUGCUCUACAUAUUUAAUCUAGAAAUUUAAAUACCAUAAGCCUCAGAUACUACAAGGAUGUCUUCCCAUUUUCUUUUUCAUCUGUCUUUUUAUACAACUCAUUCCUCUGUAGUUUAGGUCAAAAAUGCUAGCUCCGUAGCAUUUUUCUGGUCUAUGUUAACAUUUACAGCUAUAAACUGUAGUAUGUCUCAUGCAUAUUCUAGUCUGGUGUGGUAGUAUACAAAAAAUCUUGUCUUCUAAACAUUAAAUGCAGUACAAAAGGAUUUUGGCAGCUGCUCAAGGUUACAUCAUGUCUUGUUUGGAGUUUAUUUAAACAGUGUAUUUGUUCUCCUUUUAAUCAGCAUGGUUGGUCUUGGACAUGCCCUUGCUUUGUGGUAAACUGUGGUAAACUGUCAGCAGGUAAGCGGAUGUGUACUGACAGUGUGAUAAAGCUAACAUGUUUGAACUGAAAAGUCACUUACUGUAAACUUCCCCUGUUUUUUUUCUCCAUAUUACACAGGGUAUCAGUUUAUCCUCUUUCCUGUUCUACAAACUAAUCUUAAGUUUGAUAGUGUCCCAUGUUAGCAGAGCCAUAAGUGUACCUGAAUUAAAAAAAAACGGGUCUUUUUCUGUUGUUUGUACUUCGUAGGUUAUCAGCACAGCAUCAAGAUUUCAAGACAAAUUCACAGCUAAACUCAGAAAUAGUGAGAGUUACAUUUGGUCUAAGGGCAGGGGUUAGUGGUCAUUCCUUCAUUCCUUCAUUCAUCUUCACUAACCACUUUAUCCUGGUCGGGGUCACGGUCGAUCUGGAGCCUUUCCCAGGAACGCUGGGCACGGAGCUGGAAUACACCCUGCAUGGGACGCCAGUCCAUUGCUAUGCACACACAUGUUCACACUUUAGAGUAGCCAGUCUCUAAACCGAGGUGGGAGGAAACUGGAGAACCCAGAGGAAACCCAAAUGAACAUUGGGAGAACAUUAACAGAAACUCCACACCGGCAAUAACCCAAGCUCAAGGUUGAAGCAGAAACCCUGGAGCUAUGAAGCGGAAACACUGCCUCCACCACCCUGCUGCCUGGUCAUAACUGUCUUCACAUGAAAUAGGACCAAAUCUCUCUGAAUGAUAAAUUUUACAUGAUAUCAGUUUGGUCUGGGACCACAGUAGUUCUUAUUAUAGUACAGCACUGAUGAGGGUGAUUUCAAUAUCAGUGAAUAAAUUAAUUAGAUGAACUUUUAAGUUAGUGUGUAAGAUGAAGUCAUGUUACAUUGACAGGAAAUCAGUAAUUGUGUUUCUACAAAGGAUUCAUAAGCACAAUAUUAUGCAAGUCCGUGAGUUUUCUGAUUUUUUCCGCUUUUUUUUUUUACACACAGUCACACCUAAAGGCAAUAUUUAUAGAGGGAUUAUAGUGCUUAAUAUUGACUCAUUGACAGUCUGCAUCUAUUGUUUAUUGCUGUCUGCUGUUAUCUGUGAGAAAACAUGAAUUCUUUAAUGAGACAUAAUAAAAGAAAUGGUGUUGGGGUGGUUUGUCUUAACUAAGUUGACAUUACACAUAGAUAUACACCAUCCUUGAGCAGAAUAUUCAGGUGGCCAAAAAGAGUGAAAGUUUCUAGGCUCAUAGCAGAGUAUGUGCUGUUCAGUGACCUCUUUUGGAGUAUUGGAGAGCUUGUUUAAAUGUUCAGUUCAGUUCUAUUCAUUCGACUUAUUGUGUACAGCUUACAUCAGCUAGUGUUAUAGGUAACUGUAUGUCUUAUCCAUUGUGCCCAUAAUAGACAACUGAUUGAAUUUGCGCAUUGGAAUUCAGCAGCGGAGAAAGACACUGUCAGUUGUGUAACCUCUUUCACAUCAUCUCUGUUUCUCCUUCUCUGGCUCUCACCUCCACCAGUUUGCUCUGUGAUACCCACUAAGCCCUUCAAAAAUGGCACCCUUUACAGUCAACCUUAGCACAGUACAGUACAUAAUAUAAUUUUAAGCCUUAAGCCUGUAAUAUGACCCACUUAUUCCCAAAAACACACAUUUUUUAUUAUUUUAUUAUGUUUUGAGCAUUCUGACCUUUCUUUGAUAAAUUGUAGGAUUGACAUAAUAAUAAUAAUAAAAAAAAUCUUGGUCCAAUUAAUGCAGGCCAAUACGUAACAUCCGAGCUUCACCAGUCCUUAGCAAUAUUUAUUGCAAUAUAUUACAAUUGCAAUGUGUACCAAUGUAAUAAUAGUAUGCCAUUUUUAUCCAUAUUAUCCAGCACUAGUCAAGAGUGUUCAUUAAAAAUGACUGCAGCUCAUUAGGAUAAUGCAUCUGUAACUGUAAAGUAUUGCAGAAGAAGCGCUCACACUUCUACAUGAUUAAAAUGCUCUUAUUGCCAUCUUUAUUUAAAUGCAGAGUGGUAAACAAUAUCCCAUCACCCUUGUUUAGUUGUGUGGGACUGUGUGAACUCUUCAGCUGGAUCUAAUUGACUCACAGCUAAUUGCUCUGAGCUGUUAUCUGCCAGGCUGUUGGAUCCAUUUAGAGUAUAACAGCGCUGUGUAAAACUUUUCAAGCCCUUAACUGUCAGAACAGGAUGUUAUUAUUCUCCAUAGAGAUCUCCACUCAGGUUCAGUGAGAGGAUCUCAUGGUGCUGGAUCCUGAAUAAGUGGAGCUGUAGGGGUAGGAGAGCUGAUGAACUGCCGGAACUGUGCUCCUCAGGAGUAAUCAAGUUUUGAUGACCACAAUGUUACGUAUUCAAGUCAGCCAUACUCUUCCUGGAAAAGGGCAGAACCAUAGCACUGACUGGAAACACACUGCUCGCUGCUCCGUGUGAUAGAUUGUUUGCAGAUUGUCUAACGCCACUCACUGAUACUCUCAUUGGAGUGUUUACUUGUGUCGCUUUGGAAAAUGUACAGUAACAAAUAAAAUAUUUAUCAUUAUACAACAUAUUCCUUGCAAAACAGUAUGAAGUGCAAGACUGAAAAAAAAAGUCUCGUUGAACGUUUCCUAAUAGUGGAUGCACUGCAUAGGAGGAACCAUGAAAAUAUAGAUUACAAUAAGUCAUAAGUUAUAUGUACAUUGCUAUUCAUUUUAAUUAUUAGACAGAUAAGGUCAACAUAUUGUAUGUGCAGGGAGCAUUUAAUCCAGUAAUAGUAUGAUUUAAAUAUUAAGUAGUAGUUUGCAGCUCAGUUAAAUGAACAGAAUUUACAGAAGUUACAGAAGCUGGAAGCCAGUAGGAGCAAAAGCGCCCAUUCCCAUGACCUUCUAAUUCUCCAGAAAGCAGACUCAAAGUAAGCAGCUUAUGUCAGAAUCAUAAAGAAAUGUCAGAAGUAAUGACGAGCAUUGACAGCUGAGAGGACUUAAUAGCUGCUCAGAGGAUAUGGAAGGUGUUGUAGGCGGUUAUACAGAAAAGAGAUGCAAAUGUUUUUGUCUUUUGUGUGACAUUUUGAUGACAUUUUUUCUUUUUUUACUACUAAUAUUUUAACAUACAAUAUUUGACCUUUGUAUUUGUUCAAAUACAAGGUUCAGGAGUUAAGGUUGAUGAGCUAUGGUUGAGGUGUUACAGUUAAGCAGUUAUGCAUAAGGAGUUAUGGGUAACGGUUUGUGGUUAUGAAGUUAAGGUUAAGGAGUUAUUACAGUUAUUACAGAGGCAUUUAAUGUAGAAUAGUGAUAGAGCAGUUUUCUUACCUAAGGAAGACAUGAACGCGGAGGACAGGAGAGACAGACUUUCUGAGAUACUGACUUUUUAUUCUGGGUAAGUUACCCCGACCCAAAAAUCAUGACCAAUGAAAUGACCCUUUCCUGAAUUUCUAGGGGAGGAAGGAUAGCUCUGAUCAGCAUGAUACAUCAUGGGGAAGGGGUGGGGAUGAGAUAUUCAAAGCUCUCUCAUUUCAUCAAUAAUACUGUAUAAUUAUAGUAAUGGUCCAUUAAUAAAAAUCAAUAGUUUAUUUAAAAAUUUUAUUUACACCACUUUUCCACACUGCAUCCUAGGCCCCUGGGUUUUCAGACUUUAAUGGGAGAUCCAGUGUAAACUAUGCAACAUUAAGCUUCAUCUGACAGGAAAGAAGCACUGUUCCAUUGCUGAAGUUUCCACACUCCCUCCAGGUCAGCAUUAAGUGCUGCAGAGAAAUCUCAGAUACUUCCUGUCUGUAAGCUUUCUGUCCUCAGUCUGGGUGUACACUAUCCCCCUGCUAACUGGAUAACAUAUUGUACUCCCACUAAUGUGACCACCAGACCAGGAUUCAGGGUGGAAUAUUAGGAUGGGUAAAAGCUCUUAUCUCAGGGAUUCUGUAGAAGAGAAGAUGGGAUGUAAAGAAUGAGGAAAUCUCUGGGGACUUCAUGUCAUCCCUCCAGUUUUCUUCCAGUUCUCCCUAGAAGUCUAAUAUAUUGUCUUUCUUCUGUACAGGGCUAAAGUAGACCCAAUCUGUCUAUAGAGAGGGAGUACUGUGGACACAUAGCCAUGGAUUUGAACUCCAUCUGUUGUGUAUGUCAAGUGAAGAUCAUCACUCAUUACUAGUGAUGAGAAAAGCAUCUUCCCAUCCUUUAUAAAUAGUGUAAUACAUGCUUCUUUAAUUUGACUAUUUUUGGCCUGCAUUUUGUUUGAAGUUCCUCAGCUCUAACUUAACCGUAAAAUCUCUGUACUCAUUCUGCAGUUCUGUAAAUUCUUUUUUUACUGUAGCAAACAGGACAAUGUUUUUGUUGGACAGCGUAUAUAACCCCAAAUUGCCACUAUAAAUUCCCUUUAUAAUAAAGUCAUCGGAUAGCAAAUGCACUAUUACUGCAAGAUUGCUUAUCCCGGUCUUCAGGAAGAUCUCCGAUCUUUAGGCUUUUUUUUUCUAUGUUUGCGGCUGAACUGUUGAGUCUGGUCUGGAGAAUGUAUUAGUGAUGUGGCACUGUGGUGUAGCUAAGUCCAAUUCUCUGGAGAUGCUCUGCUUUAUAGUUUGUCUGGUCUGAAUCACUCUUGUCUGCUCUUACAUUUGCAACAGAAUGAAAUGAGUGAUGCUCACUGAAUCUGCUUUGUGUUGACUCUGUCAGAAGAUAGUUGCGUGUUUAAUGGCAUUUUAAGUGCAUUUUGAAUGGCCGUAUUUUACGAGUAAUGAACUCCAUCAUGUUCCCUCUGUAAAUGGAGCCUGCUAGACUACGAGAGAGAGAGAGAGAGAGCGAGAGAGAGAGAGAGAGAGAGAGAGAGAGAGAGAGAGAGUACAGAUAUCACAACCACAUCUCGAAUUGGAAGGAAGGCAUCAUGUUUUCUCUAUCUUUGUAUGGUGGUUGGAUAUGAGCCAAGCGCCAGCAAACACAGUGUGUAGAAAAUAGACAGAAUUAAUGGCAAAAUGUUACUAAUAUAAAAUCUUGUAAAAGCCCAUAUCAAACCCACACAGAGAGUAAGUGACUCAAUAAUGAGUGAGUGGCAUCGUAUAAAGUGUUAUUGAGUAUUUUAUUGUCCCCUGACUCAAUAAUCAUGUUUUCAUUUUUAACAUUAAAAAACUCCUAUGCGUUCUAGCUAGCGACUUAAUGAGUGAGUGUUGUAAUAAAUGGAUAUGUGUCUGAAUGAAAGAGUGAGUGAGUAAAUGAGUGACUUGAGAGAGAAGGAAAUGUAAUUCAGUGGGAAUAUAUGAAGCUUUAUGGUGAAAGAUUGCUGUAAGAAUAACACUGCAGAUCUUGACUAAGGUUAAGGGCUUAGUCGAGGCAUCUGGGCUUCUACCACAGCUGUUUAUAGUUCACUUUGCUGAGCUGAACUAUACUUUAUGAGCCACUCAAUCCUCUACCUUCAGGUCUUUGUAAUUUGUGGACGGAAUAUCGCCACACACAGUGUCCAGUUUUAUUAUUGUUGGAGUCAAUCUGAUGUCUGUUUCUGUGCUAGAGUUGUUCUUUAUAAAGUAGUAGCUGAUAUUUCUACUUACAACUGUACCGAGCAAAAGUUACCUGGAAACAGAACGAGAAACAAAAGAUUGAAGGUAAAACAUAGCCAUGAAGGUCAAGUAUUUAGUCUGUGUGCCUUUUUUAUAAGGUGAUCUUUGUUUAUGCUAUCAGUUUAUCCCCUGAUAAGUGGACGCUUUUCUGUCCAUGUCCAUGAAUUGUGUUUUUUUUGUUUGUUUUGCUGUGCUGAUUCCUGUCAAUGAAGCCAGUAAACAUGUAAUGAUUAAUGACCGAGUUGCACCCAACACACAGGUGAUAAAAGAUGUUUAAUAAUGUAGGAAAUGCCAGGAGUGUAGUAAUGAUGUCCAGAACAUGUGGAUUUUACAGAUUAGUGAAAGAUUCCAUUUAAAACAUUGAUCCUGAAACUCUGCGGAAAUGCCGCUCAUUCUCUGCAUAUGGCAUGGCAGGAAAGCCAUUUACAGGAUUUGUUCUCCCUGCCAUUGAGAAACAGCAAAGAAAAUGUUGUAAAAGCAUGAGUAAAGACCAACUCUGAGCCUGACCUCUUGAAUCACACUUAAAGGUUUAUUGCCCCAUGAAUCAUACACUCUAAGUUUGUAUGAGCCUGAAGGGAAGUGGAGGUGCAUUAGGCAGCGUUGCCCUGCGGUCUAUAUUCACUGAGAGAGUUCAAAUCAACACUUCCUUUUGUUCUGCAGUCGCUCUUCUGUCAUCUUUUCCACUUGAAAAUACACCCCAUGACAAGCAGUGCAUACAUGUAAUAAUAGCUGUAUUGUUUUAGGUUUCUGGAACAAUGGUAUCUUUAUAUAAAUGUGUAUAAAAGGCUUUUCUGAUGAGACUCUGAGUAAGUGUUUUCCCAUACUUCACAAAGGCUCAUCCCAGGAUGUGUAAUUGGGUAAUGAAUCGCUAAUGAACAGGCCUGGGUGGUCUGUUUAACCAAAACCUGCGGUAAAUCACCAGAGAGCUGCACAUACAUAUACUCAGACGCAACCACACACUUGUUUGAUGUGGGAAAAAUCUGCUUAUAACUCAGUGUGUGUGCAUGUGUGUGUGUCCUUUUUACCCUCCUUUGCCAUGUUUUUAUGAUUAUUACUCAUCAUGGAUGCUACAUGCUGCAAUGGUUUGUUAAUGGGCAGAGGCAGCGGCAGAGACAGUGGGGAGGAAGAAAUAAAAUAUGUCCAGACUAUUUGACGUGCUUUAUUGCACUAUAUUUUAUGUGCUUUUUCUUAUUUUUUUUUGUUGUGUCUGAGUUUGGUUUUGUUUUUAAGACAACGAUUGAAGAGAGUGAAUGUCCAUCCUGCCAUGAUGGCGAUUAUCCUGAUGGGAAAAGUUCAGCUUGUGCUUUUUUUUUUUAAAAACUUUAGUAAUAUUUUGGCUAACUCUGAGCAAGGCCGUUACUUCUCAGCUAGGGGUUACAGUAUACAUUAUAAUCAAAAUCUGAGAAAAUAUUGUAUUAAUGAAUGAAAGAAUGAAAUUUAGUGCUCUAUAUGAAAUAUGAAAACACCAAACACAGGCAUGUUUAAUUGCCCUCAUAUACAGUUACAGUGAGUGCAAAUGUUUGCAUACCCAAAGAUCCAAAACGAAAUGUAAUGUUCUAAUAAAGUUCCUUCAUUAUAACAAAAAUGGUCCAACAGGAAAAUAUUCAUAAUAAAACAAACAAACAUGCAUGUCUAAAGAAGAUAAUAAAUGUGAACAUUUAUUCCAUGUUACAUUCUGCUGCCAUGGUACAUUCUGCAAAUGUGUUGACUUUUAAAUAUUACACACCUUAAAGAGACAAAUUCCUUUAAAUAAAGUAGAACAUGACAAUAGGGAUACAAACUUACGAGCUUGCUACUAAAAUAGAAUAAACGUAAAAAAAAAAAGUAUAAUAAUGACAAAAAUAAAAUAAAAAUAAUAAAUAUCAAAAGAGAGGGAGUUUUAAAUAAUAAAGUAUUAAAAGAGAAUUAAAUAAAAA